Long non-coding RNA from Drosophila mojavensis, 1096 nucleotides. RefSeq lists it as uncharacterized. The record is from RefSeq and is a predicted model, not a curated record. The transcript has 4 exons. NCBI's taxonomy places the organism in Eukaryota, Metazoa, Arthropoda, Insecta, Diptera, Drosophilidae.
GUUGACAGGCAAACGCAAUCUGAGUGCUAUUCCACAGCAAAAUAAAGCUCAUUAUGUUGUGGGAAGGUUCAAAGUGCGGUGGACACAUGAAACAACGUCGCUAUUUAUAUGCCACACCUUGAACAGAAAACUUGAUAAGCUAUCCCAUAAGACGUAAAUGGAUUUCUUGCACAAGUUUUUGGAAUUCCAAUAGAGUGAUUGUUCAUAUAUACAUGUAUAUUUUCCUAUUUAUAAAUUACUGUGCCAUAUAUGUAGACCCACUGUCAAGCAAUAUUUACAAGAGGUUUAUAGAAGGUUAUCUAGCGAAAUCGGCCUCUAGCGAUCGACAUAGGAGUUGAAUUGUCUGUCAAAGAUUAAUAAAAUUGUUUUCUGAUAAGCCCCAACAAACACUUGAAUUAAUACCAGCAAUCAGGUUGUGCCACUUGUGGUCUAGUUGUCUAGUCGAACUAGUCGGGUGAAAGCGCAACAAGCAUCUAUUGAAAUCGAUUACCAACAUGCCACAUACCAUGUUGCAAGAAUAUUAUCUUAGAGGCCGGUCUACUUUGUUGCUAUGGCGUUGCCUCUGGCGAAGCAUCAAAUGUCAGCAGACGAGGGGCAUUUGACAAAGGGUCGUUUAAACACGCAACGCGCCGAAUAGCCGCAAGCGGAAGGGAGCUCAACCGCACAUGGCGAAACGGACAGUUCGUACAGAACAGCAACAAAAUAAACAAAAUUAUACGAAUUGCGAGGUGUUUGACUAGCUAAAUACUCUGUAACUAGCAGGUAUAUGGUGUCAGCAGCCAAAUCUACAAUUCAAUUAAUUUAAGUGCCGACAGUCCGACAGUUAAGGUAAAACUGGUAUAUAAAAAGUAAAAUAUUCUUAAAUAGUGUUUACUAUAAAUGAUAUGACUCUAGCUGAUACAAAUAAAUAUAUUAGAAAGGUCCAAAGCCACGAAAGAGACAGCAUCCUCAACUACCCAUAGAAAAAUUCACAGCAAAUGAAAUUAGACUAUUUUAUACAUUCACACACAACUGUGCUACCUCUUUACCUCGGCUUUGCACAGGGUAUAUACAUAUAUAUAAAAUUCUGCAAAAUGUGCUUAAAAAGCAAAAACAA